Molecule: long non-coding RNA, 5372 nt
Organism: Gallus gallus (chicken)
Lineage: Eukaryota; Metazoa; Chordata; Aves; Galliformes; Phasianidae
Exons: 2
Source: RefSeq, a predicted model, not a curated record
UGCAGCUGAAAGACAAAGAGAUGUGGUUAGAGCACUGCGUGGAUGUACAGGAACAAGGGAACAUCUCUGCCCAUAACAGAAACCCAACGGGUGGCAUCUGGUGAUGGCUCCUCACCACCCACCCAGCACUGUGCACAACCACGUGCCAAACCCCUGAGGAAUGAGAAGAACAUGGGUUCAAUCGCUGUUGCAAAUCAGAGCACGGGCAGCAGCUCCUGGUGUUGCAGGAUGGAUUCAAGCUGUGAGCUGGUGCUGCAACUCCAGUGCCCAUCAGCUGCUUUCUGCCACCUGAGUGCACUCAGGGCAGUGAAUCUGAUUUUCUCCCUGUGGCUUUCUUGAGCCUUUCCUUCAGCCACCUGGUGAGCAUCACCACUGGAAAUCCCAGGUAUCGGUUCCGCAUCAAGCAAGUGGGUGGGCUUGAUUUAAAACUUGUUUGCAUGGUGAGCAGUUGACCUUACCUAAAUAUAUCAGACCAAAAAAAGAAAAAAAACAAAAAAACCCCAACAAGCAGAUCUUCUAAAUCCAGGGAGAGUUCAGCCCUCUGAGCGAUAUUGCUCUGGUUUGAAGGACUGAAGUGGGAACAGCGUGGGUGCCAUGUGGGUGCAGCAGACAUAGCUGUAGAACUGCAUGCUGCUGCGCUGUGCGGUGCUUCUUCCUGUGCUAAAAUACAUGUCUGCUAACUGAGCUGACAUCUGGCACGUGUCAGUGUGGCUGUACUGCUGCUUUGGGUGGUGAAAUGAGAAAACCUGCGAAAGGAAGCAGUUCCAGGGGCAGCUUUCUGCGUCACUUUUGGUUGUACCGUGGAGCGAUGAGCCCAGUGAGAUGGAGAUGUUUUUUUUCCAGGGAGCCACCAUCCAGUGUAACCAUGGGCAAUAUUCACAUCAACUCCAGAAACAACCAGCCCUGAGUCGGAGGCUUGUUUUGCAAAGACUUCCCAAUUCUUUUAUUAGCUCUGAGGUUGACCAUCAGCCACGAUUAAUUCCAGAAGUGUGUGUGAGCGCUGCCAGCCCCAUCCCUGUGGUGCUGGGAGUGGUUGGGCUGCCAGGUCAAGCAAUGAGGAGCCCCCAUGGGUGGCUGAAACCCCAUCAUCACCCCCGGAACUGCUUCUGGGGAGGAUCAGGACACUCCAUCCCAGGAACACUGGCUGGGGCUGCCCCAGGAGCAGCAGCUGGGCAGGCGGGGGGAUUUCAGCUGGGUAAGUCCCACCGAUGUGCACGAAAACGUAAACACUUCAGUUCCUGGUGAGAUACUCAGCUUUUGCCUCUUAGCCAUUUGCCCAAGCUCUUUUCCUCCCUUGUUGAUAUUUACCCGCAUUUGAAGUGGAAAAUGCACGCUGAGGGAGUGCUGGGGUUCAGCCUGGAGCCCGUGCUGUCUCCUCUCCCUGGUGUGCAGCGGUCAGCUGCUCACCAAAGCCGUGAGUUUUCCACCCAAACUGCUGGCGCACGGAGUUGGGGCACAGCCGUGUGCCCCCGGGUGAGCAGAGCCGAUGUUCCCACUAUGCUCACUCCACCCCUUCCCCACAGCAGCCUCCCCAAGACACAGCGAGCACGGAAAAACCUUUUUCCCCCUAAUUUUUACCACUGAGUCUCCUUGCUUUUAGUCACUUAACUUUGGAGGUUUCUGAUGGUUCUUCUCUGCUCAGCUUUCCCUGUCCUCUCCUACUGCAAGCGGCACAAAGCCGCCUCGAUGAGAGGUAGAAACUAGCUGAUCCCUAAGGUCCCUUCCAAGCCAUUCCGUGAUCUACCUGGCACUAACAGUAAGUAAAGCACAACCUACCCCAGCAAUGAGGCUGACCCAAGUGUGCUCCUACCUUGGCAGACCCACGGUGCCUGGCUGCUCUCUCACCGCUCUCAGCUCUCAAAGCAAAAGUGCAACUGCUGCUGCGAGCGUGCAGGCUGUGCCGGCGCAGGGCCCUCCCCAUAGGGCUCGCCUCACUGCUGCUCGUGGUGUCAGAGCAGAGCCCAGCAUGGUGGGUGGUUGUCUUUUUUUUUCCUUCCCCCCCCCAUUUAUUUAUGUAUGUGGUCAAGAGCUCUACGGAAGCACUGCUGCUUUCAGUGGGUUUUGGAAGCAGUGGUUCCUGCCCGGUGCUGUGUGGAGGCAGUGAGUUAUCACCUCUUUGCAGAGCCCCUCGUUGCAAGGGCACAGGGCUAACGAGGCUGAGAGCUGUGUUCUCUCAUCUGUUCGUGUUGGGUAUUAGGAGAAAUUCAUUCUCUGAAAGAACAGUGAUACAGAGCUGCACAGGGAGUGGUGGGGUCACUGUCCCCGAGGUGUCCUGGAGCUGUGGGGAUGUGGCACUGAGGGACGUGGUGAUGGGCAUGGUGGGGUGGGCUGCAGUUGGGUUGGGGAUCCUCGUGGUCUUUUCCGAUCCCCCUGAUUCAUAUGAGAUGAUUUUGCUCUUUUUUUCCUUCCCUAUCACAGGGAUGAGGGUUGGGGCUGCUCUCCCUGUGCCACACUGCUCAGCAUUGCCCAGCAUAAACCUGCACUGUGGGAAUGAGAGUUCACACGCUUUCAAUACGAAAUGCAGAAGCAUUUGCUUACUUCUGUGUUUCUUUAAGUAUUCUUUCCUCCUGCUGAAGGCAAAUAUAGAAAUGGAAGAUCUGAAGAGUGAUGUGGAAAAAUGAACACGUGCAUUGAUUGACAUCUCCUUGGACAUGGAUGCACUGGAAUCAACGGGGAAGGCUUCACCAGGACAGGGCCUUUCCUCUGAUUGGCUUUGUGAUGUCAUGAUAUUGGUGAGCAGUCGGAGCAGUUAUCUCCUGGGAAGGUGUGGGUGCCCCAUCCCUGAGGUGCCCAUGGCCACGGAUGGGCCCUGUGCAGCCUGAGCUGAAGGGCACCCGGCCCACAGUGCAGGGCUUAUGGCUGAGUGUGCUUUAAAGUCCCUUCCAACCCAGCCAUUCUGUGAUUCUAUGAGACCAAGAAGGACUGAGGAUUGCUGAAGGGUUGAGGACUAAUAAUUCAAUUCAUUUUGGUGGACACAGGGACGUGCUCUGGUGCCUGUGGUGGCACAGCCCUGUGCAGGGCUUGCAUCUCCCAAAGCACACGGGCACUUGGCUGCUUGAGCAGCUAUGCCCUAAUAUAUAGAGCUCACAGGCAUUGCUUUUGAAGCCUGAUGAUUACUUAAUGCACGAUAAUUAAUCUUGUGUGGGAGCUGUCAGCACUGUGGUGUGUUCACCGCAGCACUGUCCCUUGGGCUGAGGAUUGGAUCCAUCUGCUAUUGCUGCUGGAAUCAAAGCACUGGGGUUGGGUUCUGCUGCUUCUGUGGCCCUGGGGGCUCUGGGGAGCUGCUCCCUUGGCCUUGUUGGUCCCGCAAGGUUUCCAUCAUUUCUUUUAGGGAUGAGGAACAUCCCUGAGUGCACUGCGCCUCCUGGCAGCUGCCUGUGCUCUCUGCAGGGUGCUUUCAGCCAAGCGACUGUAAGAAAACCCUUUUCUUCUAUCCUGUCCUUCCAAAAUCCAUGUAAUGUAAUAUCUGGCAGUUCCCAGGCUCCUUGGCCCCAGGGCUUGCUAAAUGACCCCCGCAAUGGGGCAGGUUGGGCAGCAGCCGUGCAUGGCUGCCUGGUAUGUUCUGCAGCUCAGGGUGCUCCGCUCCCCCAUCCUGUGGGUUUGGGCGCUGCUUUCAAACCCAGCAAAGUGCUGGGAAUGGGGGCAGCACCCAAAAAAACCUCAUACCUAAACGGCACCCGGGCUCCGAAAAUGGCGUUGUAUUUCCUGCUCAGCUGUGCAGUGGAUGCUUUGCUUUAUGCUUUCAUUUCCGCAGAAGCCGACCUGUUUAUAAGAAGGCAUGGCCCGUGUUUGGGCAGCACUUACUGUACAGAUAAGGUUUUUAUUUCAAAGCUAACUUUGGGAGCAUAACCAUAUCCUGUUUUGGCAGCGCUCGCACUGCGCUGUGCCACAGCCGUCAUCCCCGUGAUGAAGCUGAUUUCGGAAGCUGAAAGUAGGGCUUGCAGUUGGGGUGGCUGCACAUCUUCCCACCACGGGCUGGUGCUAAUGAGCUGGUUUGCUAAUGAGCUGGUUUGCUCGGUGCCGACUUAGCAAGGAGGAGCCCUCCAGGGAGGGCACUCAGGGCAUGGCAUGUGUGCAAGAGGAGCUGGCGCUGCUCUCACCAUCCCAUGGCCAAAAAGUUCUGCCCCCUAUGGGUCGAUGUGGCAGUUGCUGCUAGGAAAGCCUUGCUGCAUGCAGCGAGACUGGGCUGUGUAGGGUCAUGGCAGUGACCCCCCUCGUGUGGGGUGUCCCAGCGAUGCACAAUUGUGAGCAUCAGUGCCCUUUUCUGCCCUUUGUUUGUGCUGUGAGCAGGGAUUUGUGGCUGCGCCGCAUUGCUCUGCUCCCUGUGCUGUGUGUGAGGGGCUGAUGAACAGCCGUGGGUUGCUCGACCGAUGCCACCACAGUACACAUGCAUGCCCCGGGCUUUGCAGGGCAGUGGCUGAGCCCAUGAAGCAAAACUUGGCCGUGGGUCGGAUGAAAUCAUGCCUGGCUGGAAAACAGCUCCCUGCCUCAGUUUGGUUUAAAGCAACAAAAUCUGCUGUUUGUGCGUCUGGGUCAUCCCAGCACUCCAGCCCUGCCUGUGUGUUUGUUCCCAUGCCAGUUGCAGCACUCUGCAGGCUCGCUCCUGGCUAGGGGGUGCGAGCUCUGCCCCCGCUCAGUGCUUCUGCAGAGGCCAAAAAGCAUUGUUGGGCUGGGCUGGAAGUGUGCAGCCACGGAGGGAGGAAAAGGUAUUUUUAGCAGAGAGAAAAGCAGCCGUCCUUCCCUUCCUGCAGCGCCCUCGGAAGUAUUGUGUGCAAGAGGCAUCGCCCUGGCAGUCCUUGUUUAAGGGCUGCAGAAUGUUGGAUGUAUAAUUAAUGGCAUGCGGGUGGAAUAACUCAUUGCCUGUGGAUAGCACAGCUAAUUGCAUGCAGGAUCUCGGGAUGCAGUGCCAAAUGCAGGGAGCCCAGCUUUGCUGCUCACCCGCAGGUGAAUGUGCUGCUGUCAGUCUGAGCUCUCACCCCCUGCUCUCCCUUCUCUCCAACCUUCAGCUUUUCCUGCGCUCCUGCAAAGCAAACUGUCAGAGCAGCCACCGUUGGAAGGGAAUCUCCUCAGGUUUGGGUAAAACCCAGCAAAUCCUCUUCUGCCAGAGCAGAACUGAUGACAAUGAAAAGAAAAGCUUUCACGUAGGCUGAGUGAGGUACAAGAGCAAAGUCCCCUCCCAUCAUCUCUCUGCUCAGGAAACUACUAAAGCUGUUACUCUAGCACCAGCAACAGCAAAAUCAUUGCUGUCCCAUGCAUGUAGUCCCCAAAGGGUUUCUUACUGCCGAAUUUCCCCUGUGAGCUGCGGUGCAGGCAGGGCUGCCUGCUGGAACAGCCGCUGCUCUCUGCAUGUGACAGACUGCUGCCACUUUUGA